GGGGCUGGGCUGAGGCGGGGCCGGGCCGCGGCUCCACAGGAAUGUCCGGAACUUACGAAGAGCCCCGGGAGCGCCGUGGGGCGUAGCCGCGGCUCGGUGGAGCCUUUGCGCUGUGCGGGAGCCGGGUGGUGCUGAGCCCCAGGCCUGGCAGGCUCCGGUGUGUCCUGUCCGGAAGAUCCUUAGUAGGGGUUCGGAGGUCAGAUGGCAAACAGGGGAAGUCACUUGAAUAAAGGAUAAAAAAUAGAGGAUAAAUUGGAGUCACUGGUGUACCCAGCUGUAGCCCUGCUAACAAGCAGCUGCAGUGGGAUCAGGUGUGUCUGAUUCUCAAAUUAGUCCCAGCAGGUGGGUUAGAAACUCAGCUCUGGGUACAAAAUUGCUUCAGUGUGUGCCUGUUGAUAAUAAACAGCUGUGUUAAAAAACAAGGUGUUCUUUUGGGGUCCUGUUUGCUGCCUUGCAGCUUGUUACAAUAACGAAAGACUUUGGGUUCAUUACAGGAGAUGCAUGUGCCAAUUAGCAGGCCAGUUAAUAGAGCAGACAGGGAGCUGUGCUUGCUGCUCCCCUGAGAACUCGGAGAAGGAGCCCCAGGGCUGCAGUGUCGGCAUCAGAGGCAGAGAUUCUUUCCCUGGUGGUCCCUGGAGAACAAUCCCAGCCUGUCCCAGCUGGAAGCACUGAGCCAGGCACUGCUGCAGCUUCUGGACCGGUUUCUCUCUGAGUUUGGGGAUUUGGAGCUUUGCCUGCACAGGAGCAGGAGGAAUUCCCUGUCCUCCUGCUUCGUGUGUGCCAGCCACGGAGACCCCGUCUCUUCUAUCACUUGCUGUCAGCAUUCAGCAUCGGUUCAGGAAGGAGCCCAAAACCCCACCUGGAGCUCCACGGGGCUGUUCUGGAACAGGCACAGAGCUGGAGAUCCAUCCUUUGUAGGGGAUAAUAAAUGGUAAUGCACUCCUUAGCAUUUCAAUGUCAUGAUUAAAUAUUCCAGAGCCUUAUUAAUUGAAUAUUUUAUAUUCCUGCAAAUGGCCUUGAUCCUCACAAUGGCAUACUAAUUCCAAGGGAAGGGAGAGGGAGCAUGUUCAGGUUCCUGCAAGGAAUCCCUGCAAACAAGGCUUUUGAACUGACAGCAUGAAUGGGUUCUAGGGCAAGUUGCUGUGCAUGAAGCAGGACCUGGAGGCAAUGUGGAUGUGUUUGCAUUUUGGAUUUAUGGGAUUCCAGAGUCACGUGGGUGGUUUGCUGCUGGUACUGCAAGAAGAAGCUCAGUAAUGGAUUAUCCCAGGGGAUUAAAAUUCUGUAGGUCUCAGUCACCAACCCAUCAAUGACACCAACGUGAUCAUUCUGGGCUGCAGAGAUGGACCUUUCUCCUCUUGGUUGAACUGAAGGAAAUUCCAGGCUCCUCCUCCCCUGAAGUCACAAAGAGUCGGAAGGUUUGCCAAAAGGGAACUCAUGGCUCUGGUCAAGAGAUGAGGAGGAGCAGCUGAGGGA
Non-coding RNA from Taeniopygia guttata (zebra finch), 1473 nucleotides. The record is from RefSeq and is a predicted model, not a curated record. Lineage: Eukaryota; Metazoa; Chordata; Aves; Passeriformes; Estrildidae.